RNAcentral lists this ribosomal RNA (253 nucleotides) under uncultured bacterium. RNAcentral's name for it is "partial 16S ribosomal RNA". It matches the Rfam family "Bacterial small subunit ribosomal RNA", at positions 524 to 776 of the family's 1533-position model. The record is from RNAcentral.
UACGAAGGGGGCUAGCGUUGCUCGGAAUUACUGGGCGUAAAGGGCGCGUAGGCGGUUCUAUAAGUCAGGCGUGAAAUUCCUGGGCUUAACCUGGGGGCUGCGCUUGAGACUGUGGGACCUGAGGUCAGAAGAGGGUCGUGGAAUUCCCAGUGUAGAGGUGAAAUUCGUAGAUAUUGGGAAGAACACCGGUGGCGAAGGCGGCGACCUGGUCUGAUACUGACGCUGAGGCGCGACAGCGUGGGGAGCAAACAGG